AUACGGAGGGGGCUAGCGUUGUUCGGAAUUACUGGGCGUAAAGCUCGCGUAGGCGGAUUGACAAGUUGGAGGUGAAAUCCCGGGGCUCAACCCCGGAACUGCCUUCAAAACUGUCAGUCUUGAGUUCGGAAGAGGUGAGUGGAAUUCCUAGUGUAGAGGUGAAAUUCGUAGAUAUUAGGAAGAACACCAGUGGCGAAGGCGACUCACUGGUCCGAUGCUGACGCUGAGGUGCGAAAGCGUGGGGAGCAAACAGGAUUAGAAACCCUAGUAGUCC
RNAcentral lists this ribosomal RNA (274 nucleotides) under uncultured bacterium. RNAcentral describes it as "partial 16S ribosomal RNA". It matches the Rfam family "Bacterial small subunit ribosomal RNA", at positions 523 to 796 of the family's 1533-position model. The record is from RNAcentral.